UAUGAGAGAGGGUACCCCAACUGAGAGGGUAACUUGGGAGUUGUUUAAGCAGUCCUUCAAAGCAAAGUAUGUCGGAGCUAGCUAUGUGGAUGCGCGAAGGAAGGAAUUCCUGAACCUGACCCAGGGUGGUAAGACCGUUGCUGAAUAUGAGGCAGAGUUUUUGCGAUUGAGCCAGUAUGCUAAUGGUAUUGUCUCUAUCGAAUACGAGCGUAGUGUUCGCUUUGAGGAUGGCCUCAGGGAUGAGCUAAGGGUGCUCAUAGCUCCAUAGAGAGAGCGCGAUUUUGCUACACUGGUAGAAAAGGCUAAGAUAGCCGAAGAGGUGAAACAAGCUGAACGAAAGAACCGCGAUAGGGAUCGAAAUUGGUUCAGGAGAGAUGCUGGACCAACUGGUGUUGCAAACUGAAAU
This 406-nucleotide long non-coding RNA is filed under the name Gossypium barbadense (sea-island cotton). RNAcentral's name for it is "long non-coding RNA (GBAR_LNC000328)". The record is from RNAcentral. Lineage: Eukaryota; Viridiplantae; Streptophyta; Magnoliopsida; Malvales; Malvaceae.